Molecule: long non-coding RNA, 527 nt
Organism: Mauremys reevesii (Reeves's turtle)
Lineage: Eukaryota; Metazoa; Chordata; Testudines; Geoemydidae
Exons: 3
Source: RefSeq, a predicted model, not a curated record
AAGGGACUUCCUUGGGGACACAGGCAAUGCAGCAGGCUUGCGUUCAAGCCAAUGAAAAUGGCUUCAUCCUGCUCUGAUCCUGUCUUGGAGUCACAGGCAGGACUGGACCUGAGGCCUCCAGGAUUUCCACUGCAAACCCCGAUAAAGCAGAGAUGGACCCAAGCUGGGAAAUUUGGUUUCAAAUCCAAAGUUCCCCAGAAUGAAGGGACCAGAGUUUGGAUCCUAUGUUCUGAAUUAGAACCUUUCAUCAUGUGGGGACUCAAAGACAUGGAGGCUCACUUUGCUCACCUCUGAAAUGCAACCACUUCUGGGGUAAAUGCAGCAACUGUUUAGCAGCCCACUGCAUCUCUACACUUCACUUUAGGACAUGGAAGUAAAGAAGACAACUCUCCUGUUGGAACAAGCGAAUGUCUAUUCUCAAAGUGGAUUCCUUAUAAACUGGUCUGUAGGUGAGAAUCUCUCUCAAAGCCCCUAUGACUAAGAUGACUUUCCUUGCCUCACUGAUGUCUCAGUACAAUAUUUUAAGC